RNAcentral lists this long non-coding RNA (979 nucleotides) under Monodelphis domestica (gray short-tailed opossum). RNAcentral's name for it is "lncRNA (ENSMODG00000045290.1)". Lineage: Eukaryota; Metazoa; Chordata; Mammalia; Didelphimorphia; Didelphidae. The record is from RNAcentral.
CUGCAUUACAACAACUAGGAAAACUCGAAUGGAACGUUAAUGAAGAUCCCCAACACAUUUCCUCCCUUCCUUCCUGGUUUUCAUCCCCUCCAGGGGGUAGAGUAUUUGCUAACAUCACAUGCUUUAUAAAUUUUUCCAAUCACUAGCAUUGCAAUUGAGGGAAUUUUCGACUAAAGUGCUGCAUCUUUACUCUCAUCCCCAAAUGGAUUUCUGCAGCCAUUACACAUUUGUUUUUCUUUAAGAAAAACAAGUGGAGAUCCCAAUGGAAAAUGGUCUUUGAUAAAUAAGAGCUCCUUCAGGUGGUUUUACCCAACCAUUUGAAAUCACAGUUGCCAUAAAUGAUCUCUCAUAUUUCCGCAAGGCAAUUCUGUUAGCAGGAUUGCUCCCAGGGGGCUCUUUUACAAUUCUACAUGUUUCAUUCAUGGGAAAAACUAGCAAUAUUCACCUUAUGCCAUUGAAGCAGAAGAUUCCAGGGAUAAACUAGGAAUGCUUAGAAACCCUAGGAAGAAUAUUGGUGAUCUGGAAUGUCUGAUCACCAUGGCUUUGGAUUCUGUUUUGUUUUUCUAUUCAAGUGCCUGUCAAAAACUCCAUUUAUGUUUUCUUUGCUACUUAAAAAGAUCUUGCUUAGAGACCUCUGACACAAGAAGUCAAAUUCAAGCACUAUUAUCAACACAUCAAAGCAAAAAAGUUUGUCGAUAACAUGGUAACAAAGAACAAUAGAGACUAAGAAGAAAUGGGGAAAAGGCUUUAGAAAUAUCCAGCAAAACAAGUCAGUCCCUGGACAAUACAGAAACAUGAAAAAUGAUAAAGUUAAGCCAUCUUUUUCCCACUGAUGUUGACCUUCUUCUCAUUGCUCCUACCGUGUACAUAUUUGUUAAAGGGCUCUGUGCUUAAUUGAAAGUAUCCAAGUGUGAGUCUUACAUGUGCCUAGAUAAAGGUAGAAAAGUUAAAACAUGAAUAAAAAUGGCAAAUGUUGACA